Molecule: long non-coding RNA, 5027 nt
Filed under: Sus scrofa (pig)
Lineage: Eukaryota; Metazoa; Chordata; Mammalia; Artiodactyla; Suidae
Description: lncRNA (ENSSSCG00000056993.1)
Source: RNAcentral
AACACAGAUUCUGACCAAAACACAAGAUGCACAGUAAAUUUGUUUUACUAACAGAUCAAUAAGUGCUCAAUAAAUAUGUAUUUUUUAAAGGCUAGACAACAGACACUUCUCAGGAUUUUAUUGUGUUCAAUGCAACUGUUAUUUUAUGCAAUGAAAUAUGCACUUUCUAAACUUGAUAACAGGGGCCAGAGUGGAACUUGGAUCAGGGGCAUUGGGAUCUUGGAUGCCUUAAAAGCCAGGUCUUAGAUGUUAAGUGAGGCCAGUUGGGAUGAUGGGGAGAGACAGUGGCGGCAGCAGCAGCAAUGAAAAUCAAUAGGAAAUGUCACAACACUGAGUCUGCAGGUUUGUGUUUGUAGCACUCAGAAGAAGAGAAUCAUCAGUAGAACAACUUUAACUUAAGCUCAAGGCCCAGAAGUACUCAGCUGGUGAUCAGAGUGACCAGUGCUUGCUUCCACAAUGCCCAGAGAUGACAGGCUGCUCUAGUGGGCUGCUAGGGAAGAGAGAGUGUGUAGAAGAAGUGGGAUGGUGGUAUUUCUAAGGGUGAAACUCAGUUUAUUACAAUUGGUUUGGGUACCAGUGGGUUUUCUUUUCUAACUUGGUAGCUAAGGAAGUUAUGUAUUCUAUAUGUCCUCUUAGAAGAACUGAUACUAAAGAGAAUUUAUAGACUAAUAGUAGAUCAGUUUUUAAAGCUGUUUAAUUUUUUUCUAUUAAGUAUAAUGAAUGAAUCAUUGCAAGAGAUCACGAGUCUUUAGUCGACAUUGUUUAACUUUGUUCAAACUAUCCCAUUUUUUACCCUUAAGUAUAGAUUCUCCACAUGCAACAGUAAAAACAUUAUAUCAAUUCAGAAAUCAAUGGACAAUAAAUGUCGCAUUUCUUAAUUUUUCUAAAUCAAAUAAGUUUGUCACCAAAUUCCUACUCAUCAAAGCUCACAAGAAGUUGCAGUGUUGGUUCCCUUUGCUCUCCUGAAUUUUACUGGAUUUAGGUCUUAAUCCAGUUCAGAAAAUAAGGGUACUGAAUUUUGGACAGUGAUGUAGAUAUUUCAUGCCUACACCUGAGGGUCAAUUUGAAGUAAUUUGCUCACCUUUUGUGCCAGCUUGGCCAUUGAGGCUGCUAUUGGUAAGUGUUGUGGGUAGAAAUUAUAAUCUUAAAAUCUUUCACUUAACUGUGAUCAAAAAAAAUUUUUAAGUGUGAGUUAUAGUGGAAAAUCCUAGGAAGAAAGAUUUCUGUUGUGUCAGGUUGUUUGUAUUUUCAAGGUAUGGGACCAGUCGUUUCUUAGUAAAGUGAAUGAGAAGAGGUUGAGAAUUUUGUAAUCCAGUCACUUUAUAAACAGGAAUACUAAAGAGCAGGGGGUUUACAUGUACAGAGGCUCUGUUCUGGUUCUGUUAAAGAAGCAGCAAAUAGCUCCUGAGAUAUUCACAGGUUUUUGUGGAGCUAUUUGUCACAAAUUCCUCCUGGAAUAUUCAUUCAUUAAAUAUGUAACUUCUAUGUAAGUUAUAUAAGUUAUCCUUAAAUGUAGACAUCACUGGGAGCAUAUAUAAUACAUACAUUGUUCAUUUCACAAAAAUACAUCACACACAUUAUAUGUUACAGAAGACUGAAUCUUUCAUUAAAAUUGCAGAUGAACUAAUCAGCCAUAUGUUAAUCUGACUCAUUACUCUGUAAAUCAUAUAGGUUAUUCCUUUUCAGUGAAAGAGAAAAAGGACAUGAAGAAACCCCUUCAUGUCCCAUGAUCUACAUUUUCUCCUUUCAGAAAGCAACACAUGAAGAAUGUCCUUAGAUAUUGUAAAAAUUUUCAUAGAGAUUAGUCUCCAUGGGUAUUCAUACAGCUGUUUUCCUUCUAAGAUCUUUUUGUUUAUGGGGUGCUAUGUAUGAGGAGCAUGCAGAUUUCCAUGACAUCAAGCCCUUUCAAUCCACCAAAUCCUGUCCCAUUUCUAGGGAAUUAAGCUCCCUUGGAGCCUUGCUACCCACUUGUCCCCCUAAAGCCACAAUCUCCAUCAUUCCUGCUUGUGCACAAGGCAUCCUAAUUGCCUUGGUGGAUUCCAUUUAGAAAUGCAAAGAUUUCUAUUCUGAAAUGUAUGCAAAAAGGGCUUUUGACCUCUGUCCUGCACUGAGAAGCUUCUGGAAUAAGAAUUAUCUCACUGUUUCUUUUGAGGGGUGAUGGGAGUGGUAGAGGAGCAAAUUCAGUGUAUAUUAGUGGUGUUAAAGAAGAAGAGAAAAAAGGUGUUGUAUUUAUUACUGAUGAAGCCGUAGCAGAAAGAAAAACUCAUUAGUCUUUUACAAAUUUUUUAAAGUAAACUUUAGGAUAAUAGUCUUUAGUAGGCUGGACUUCAACAGCCCAAUUCCAAUGCGGGGUCACAAAUUGAGAGCUCCUCAAGGGCAAAUGUCAUCUCCUAGUGUCUGCAUCUUCCACAGACACUUCCCACCUGGCACAUCAUAGCUGUUAAAUAAAGGCUGGAUGAGCAGAACAGACUCUAGUGAUCAUUAGUCCCUAGCCUUCUCAUAUGGGCAUUGUAAUUUAAACAUCCCAGGCCAUCAUAUUUUAUUCUUAACUUCUCAUUGUCUUCUUUCCAUUCUUUAUAUUUAUUUAUGCUUUUAAUCAUUGUAUUAAUUUAUUGUGGCUAUCAUUACAAGGUACCACAAACUCAGUCACUCUAAACGACAGAAAUGUAUUCUUUCACAGUUCUGGAGGCUAGAAGUCUAAAAUCCAGACAUCCCACAGGGCUGGUCCAUUUCAUGACUCUCUUCUGGCUUUGGGUGGCUUGGUGGCUGCUGGCAGCCCUUGGUGUUUGUUGGCUUAUAGAUACAUCACCACCAUCCUUGCCUUUCUCUUUACAUCAACUUAUCCUCUGUGUGUUGUCUUCCAUAUUUUCUCCCUCUUACAAGGUCACUCACUUAUUGCUGGAUUUAAGGCUUUCCCUAAUCCAGGAUGAUCUCAUCUCAAGAUGCUUAAUUACAUCUGCAAAGACCUUCCAAAUAAGGUUAUGUUUACAGGUUCCAGGUAGACAUAUCUUUUUAGGGACACUAUUCAACCUACUACAUAGAGUUAUCUUGGCUUUUUCAAUUUUUGUGUUUUCUCCUUCUGAAUUUAAUACACAACCUUUUUGUACUCACUCUCUCUUGGUCUAAGUAGAUGUCUCUAGCAUAGUAUAACUUCCUAAUUAAUUGGCUAGAAGUCUGGGACAUGGACUUUUCAUUAUUCUGGAAAUUUUCACUUAUUACCUGACCAUGUGAUCUUAGAUAAAUUUAAUAACAUUUAAUCUUAUUUUUCCUGUUGAUUGCAAAUACGGAAAUCAGGCCUUGCUCAAGGAAGAGAAAAUUCAUUGUGAGUUAUAAAGCUCAUGGACAAGAACAUAGUCAGACUUUAAAAAGAAAUUAGAUCAUGGAAUUGAAAUUUUAGCACGUUCUCAUUUUUUUUUUUUUUGUCUCUGCUUUUCUCUGCAAGCUCUGUAAUUCUCCCCCCCCCCAAAUGACUGUUUUUCCGACAAAAAUGUUCAAAUUUAAUGUUACAGUUCCACCUUCAUGGACAGAUUCUUCUCCUCUUUCCCCCCCCCACUUCUUAUCUCUUUCUAAUAUCUUCAUUUGUUACACAUUUCUCUCCGAAAUCUGUUUAUGUCCCAGUUCCAGAUUAUUGAUUGAGGGAAUAAGAGUGAUUCAGUUGGGAUUUUUCCUAAUUAAACCAACUUUGACCAGAGAUAGUGUCAUUUUAUACAAAGCUGGGUCUUGAGGAUAAAACCAUAGAGAUUGGAGAUUAAAGCUGUUACCCUGAGGAAAGAAUUUGGGAGUCUGGCAGGUCUACAAAAACAUGUACCACCUUUCUCUUCAAUAACAUGGAAUUAAUAGUUCCUGCUAUGCUCACGUCACAAGAUUUUUGGAGGAUCAGAGUAGAAUUGUGCCCAAGAACAUAUUGCAAAUUGUGUAUUACUAUACACUUGAAUGAAUUGUUUUAAAGUUUAUAGUGGUGGAUUAAGGCUCUGGACAAGUAGCGGACUUGAUUUUUUAAAAUUUUUAAUGGAGAGAAUGAUUCAUCCUCUUGUCAAGUGGAUAAAGAUUUUCUAAGAGCUCAUCACCAUGGCUCCCAAAGUUUUCAUUGUUUCCACAAUGGCAGGAAAUCAUGAUUUCAAAAAUAGGGAUGAAGUUGUUGUGGGAGAGAGGAAGAAGCUGGAAAUGCAAGUUUUAAGCAGGUGAUGUAAAUGGAGGCAACCCUUCAAAGCUCCCCAGCAACAAUGGCAAGAGCACCGACUGAAUUUAGAUUCUGAUCCACUUGGACAUGGAAAACGCUGGGCUCUAUGUAAUAUUGAUUUCUCAAUUGUUUUUUAUAUGGAUAUUUAUUUUUUGACAGGUCAUGGAAAGCCAAGAUAAAUACUUGACAACAGACAUCUAACUAUCAGCCCUAAAAUAAACAAUAGUUCUUAAGUUUCUUGGGGAUCUAUGAUUCAUUGUUGAUGUUGUAGAUAUAAGAAGAGGAGAAGCAAAUUUAUCUUUCAACAGAUGUAUUGAAGCGGUUAGACAUAUUUUGUCAAGAAGGUUGUGAUUUGAUCUGGUGUUGCUGUGAGCUGUUGUGUAGGCCAGCAGCUUCAGCUCUGAUUCGACGCCCUAGCCUGGGAACCUUCAUAUGCUAUGGGUGCAGCCCUAACAAGACCGGAAAAAAAAAAAAAUCUGCUUCUCUGGCUUUGGAGCACCCCUGUACCAGGAAAGGCCAACAGUACUGGGCACUAAGGAAAGUCUGGAGUGAGCUCUUUGAAACUUUUCUCUGGGCCUUAGGAAGACAAAUUCUAACUCUUAUGAUCAUCUUGCUGUCCCUCAUUAUACUUUUUCAUUAAAAAAAAAUUAUCCAGGAGUUCCCGUUGUGACUCAGUGGUAAUGAACCCGACUAGGAUCCACGAGGCCCUGCUCAGUCAGUUAAGGAGCCGGCAUUGCCGUGAACUGUGAUGUAGGUGGCAGACGUGGCUUGGAUCUGGCAUGGCUGUGGCUGUGGUGUGGGCCAGCAGCUGCAGCUCCGACUUGGCCCUUAGCCUGGGAACUUCGAU